RNAcentral lists this ribosomal RNA (497 nucleotides) under uncultured bacterium. RNAcentral's name for it is "partial 16S ribosomal RNA". It matches the Rfam family "Bacterial small subunit ribosomal RNA", at positions 28 to 507 of the family's 1533-position model. The record is from RNAcentral.
GAUGAACGCUGGCGGCGUGCCUAAUACAUGCAAGUCGAGCGAGCAGACGAGGAGCUUGCUCCUUCGACGUUAGCGGCGGACGGGUGAGUAACACGUAGGUAACCUACCUAUAAGACUGGGAUAACUUCGGGAAACCGGAGCUAAUACCGGAUAAUAUUUCGAACCGCAUGGUUCGAUAGUGAAAGAUGGCUUUGCUAUCACUUAUAGCUGGACCUGCGCCGUAUUAGCUAGUUGGUAAGGUAACGGCUUACCAAGGCAACGAUACGUAGCCGACCGGAGAGGGUGAUAGGCCACACGGGAACUGAGACACGGUCCAGACUCCUACGGGAGGCAGCAGUAGGGAAUCUUCCGCAUUGGGCGAAAGCCUGACGGAGCAACGCCGCGUGAGUGAUGAAGGUCUUCGGAUCGUAAAACUCUGUUAUUAGGGAAGAACAAACGUGUAAGUAACUGUGCACGUCUUGACGGUACCUAAUCAGAAAGCCACGGCUAACUACGUG